RNAcentral lists this ribosomal RNA (434 nucleotides) under uncultured bacterium. Its description in RNAcentral is "partial 16S ribosomal RNA". It matches the Rfam family "Bacterial small subunit ribosomal RNA", at positions 29 to 507 of the family's 1533-position model. The record is from RNAcentral.
AGCGAACGCUGGCGGCAGGCCUAACACAUGCAAGUCGAACGAACCUUUCGGGGUUAGUGGCGGACGGGUGAGUAACACGUGGGAACGUGCCUUUAGGUUCGGAAUAACUCAGGGAAACUUGUGCUAAUACCGAAUGUGCCCUUCGGGGGAAAGAUUUAUCGCCUUUAGAGCGGCCCGCGUCUGAUUAGCUAGUUGGUUGAGGUAAUGGCUCACCAAGGCGACGAUCAGUAGCUGGUCUGAGAGGAUGAUCAGCCACAUUGGGACUGAGACACGGCCCAAACUCCUACGGGAGGCAGCAAUGGGGAAUCUUGCGCAAUGGGCGAAAGCCUGACGCAGCCAUGACGCGUGAAUGAUGAAGGUCUUAGGAUUGUAAAAUUCUUUCACCGGGGACGAUAAUGACGGUACCCGGAGAAGAAGCCCCGGCUAACUUCGUG